This 620-nucleotide long non-coding RNA is filed under the name Monodon monoceros (narwhal). Its description in RNAcentral is "lncRNA (ENSMMNG00015021513.1)". The record is from RNAcentral. Lineage: Eukaryota; Metazoa; Chordata; Mammalia; Artiodactyla; Monodontidae.
UUCCCAAGCUGGCUGUUGGUUGUACUCCCAGUUAUACGCUAUCAGGAUUGCCUUUCCAACUGUAUUCCUCACUGGAGUUAGCUUGAGGCUGUUCUGACUGUUUCUCUUUGGAUUUCUCAGUGGGUUCUUUCCUGGAUUCUUCGCUAAAUGGUUCAAAUGACUCUUCAAUGAAUUCCUAACUGAAAUCCUGUUCCCAAACGUCACUGAAUUCUCCACCAGUGUGUCUCAAUCUGUGGGCAUUGUUUCAUGCAGAAGACAUUAAAUAAAAGGCAGUUGAGCAAAUACAAGCAAGAGACCGAACGUUUCAGCAAAGUCUACGGGCUCCAAACAGCCUUAGUUUGGAAGGCAAAAAAAUCCUCACAGCUUCCCCUACUGCAGCUUUGAUGACAGAUUCAACGGAAUAAGGCCAAGUGCCAAGGUAAAGCAUGAAAAAAACAUCUCAGUCCAGUCCCUACCUACUUUUCCUAAAUCAUUUCUUACCGAUAUCACCGGUGCACUUGAGGGACCAACCACAUGGAACCACUUAUCAUUCCCAGAGCUCCUGGAAUCAGGUUUGUGGAUGUGUGUGGCUCUCUGAGGCUCAUUUGAUGACAAAGAGGAAAGGCAGAUCUCUUCCAUAA